RNAcentral lists this ribosomal RNA (479 nucleotides) under uncultured bacterium. Its description in RNAcentral is "partial 16S ribosomal RNA". It matches the Rfam family "Bacterial small subunit ribosomal RNA", at positions 28 to 507 of the family's 1533-position model. The record is from RNAcentral.
GAUGAACGCUGGCGGCGUGCUUAACACAUGCAAGUCGAACGAAGCACUUUAACCUGAUUCUUCGGAUGAAGGUUUUUGUGACUGAGUGGCGGACGGGUGAGUAACGCGUGGGUAACCUGCCUCAUACAGGGGGAUAACAGUUAGAAAUGACUGCUAAUACCGCAUAAGACCACAGAGCCGCAUGGCUCGGUGGGAAAAACUCCGGUGGUAUGAGAUGGACCCGCGUCUGAUUAGGUAGUUGGUGGGGUAACGGCCUACCAAGCCAACGAUCAGUAGCCGAGCUGAGAGGGUGACCGGCCACAUUGGGACUGAGACACGGCCCAAACUCCUACGGGAGGCAGCAGUGGGGAAUAUUGCACAAUGGGGGAAACCCUGAUGCAGCGACGCCGCGUGAGCGAAGAAGUAUUUCGGUAUGUAAAGCUCUAUCAGCAGGGAAGAAAAUGACGGUACCUGACUAAGAAGCACCGGCUAAAUACGUG